UGUUAAACGAAAGUUUGAUCUAGGCAUGAGAAAAGAGAGGAAAUAACAAUGUGAUUAAGAUGUCGUUGGUUGUGGUCUUCUUCUCCCUUCACGUCUUACUGGCUUCUGGAUUGAAAGAGCUCAGAGUGAGGCCUGGACAAGCUGCCACUCUUCAGUGUUGGGGUCCCAGAGAUGCACACAUCACCCUGCUGGAGUGGAGCAGACCUGAGCUCAUCUCACAGGGUUAUGUGUUCUUCUUCCAAGACCAGCGCUCAUACGAGAACUACCAGCACGAGUCCUUUAAACGCCGAGUGCAGCUGAGAGACUCAUCCAUGAUGGAUGGAGAUGUUACUGUGAUUGUGAGGAACGUCAGGGUCAGUGAUACGGGAAUAUACAAGUGUGAGAUUACAACCAGCAGCACCAGAAAUGACGAGAGAGUCGUCAGCGAGUUCAAGCACUCCAUCAACCUCACAGUCACAGACACAGGUUUCACAGAAGGAGAGUCCAAAGAAAGAGGACACAAGGAUGGAGGAGACAAGAAUCUAUCUUUUUUUAAUUUUGUGUUAAUUCUGUCAUGCGGACUCCUUGGUGUUAUGGUUAUUGUUACUGUAGCUGUAAAUAUCUACAGGAAAAAAAGUUUCUAAAGCUAUGUGUAUCAUCAUAGUAUCAUCUGUAUGUAGCAUUUCUCUUCUCUGAUCCUGUAAUCACAGUUACAACUUACAACAAUGUCAUGUUAGCAAGCAGACGAUACUAACAAAGUUGCUGUGGAUAUCAGAGUCACAAUAUUUUAUUAACACCUAAGAAAAUUAUAUUAGCACUAACCUCACAAAUGUGCUUCUGGAAGAAUGGUCAAAAUUCCCAACACACUCGUAAACCCUGAUAUGAAUAUCUAUCUAUCUAUCUAUCUAGCGUGGGAUAGACCCGCUCGCCUCGCAAGCAAUCGAGCUGUUAUUACCGUUGACAAAGCGCAGGUACACAGCUGCCAUAACCCCCACUGUACACUGACCUCAUUUACUGAGGUUAUAUUUACCGGGUUUUUAUUUCCUGAUGUUCGUAUGUGUCAUACCUGUUUCAGUCGCCAAAUCUGAAUUAUAACUAACAUUAAAAACAUGUUUAAGGAGGAGAGAGAGCAAAUAAAUCCGAUUAACAGCUGAUCUUUGGGUUUUUGUUCAGUAAUCAGCGUGACCUGUGUAUAAACGCAUAAAAGAGAAAACGUUGGUGUUUCCGUCAUGUAGUAACUGCUGGCUUUAACUGUACAAAGGUUGUUCGACACUAUGAAACACAUACAGACUUAAUGAUGUUCGGCUAAUAUUUUAAUUGUGAAUAUUAAUCAUGAGGGUAAACGACCCUGUACACCACGGAGCGAGGUCAGCAUAUCCACGAUAUCUUCAGCUCUCUGAGUUAACACACAGUUUCACAGCUGACUAAUCUAACAGUCAUCUACGAAUAAUUCAUGGGUCAUAUCUAUAUGAUUUUACUGAAAACCAUCCUUAUUACUACCAACUAUUCCAGAGACGUGAAAGUCUACAGUAUAAAGAAAAGAAAAGAACUGUCUGAGUGGUUAACUGAAGUUAACUUGGAUAAAUUAUAGUUAAGGAGUAUCACAGAUAACGCCCAUGUGAGCUUUGUGACUGUUCACCACUGCACUGAAAUCAGUAGGCUAUUACUGAAAUACACGUGCUAUAUCAUAAACUACGAUAUAAAUAGGGAGGUCCUAUUAACAUGUUUAGUUUUAAAGGACACCUUCCUGCCUUUAGUCUCAUUCAUGAGCAGUAUUAGUUUUCUUCUAACAUCCAGAAGUCUGCACGAUGUGUUUCAUAGUUUGUAACAAGCCUUUGACAGUUAAACAUAACAUGACUGGGGAAAAAAAAAAAUCACACAAAUUAUAUGUUAACCUCAUUUAUUUUUAGUUAAGUAAAAUCUAAAAAUUCUAACAGAUAGCUGGUGCUUAGAAUACAGUUGAAUAACUACUAAAAAACAGAUGAUGUAAUAUUUCUGUCCAGGUUGCAGUCUUCAUGAUGAACAUGCUGUUGCAAACUCUGCUCCUCUCGGUGGAAAUGCGCCUUCUCUUUCCUCUUUGUAUAAAAACAUUUUAAAAGUCAGUUUAAUCUUAAAAUUCACUGUUAAAUCCAAAACACACCAGAUAAAGAAAAGCGAAUAGUUCAGUCUAACACAUGUGCCAGUGAACCAUUAAACUUCAGUAAAACUCUGCAGUUAUGAAACGUAACUUUAACCUCAGCCAAACCGAUUUGCUCAGUUGUAAAUAAAACAGCGAAGUAAACGUGACCCGACAGACAAAACCUGAGUGAAUUAAGUCCAGCGUUUAACCACUGAGAGCUAAAACUCAGGUGAGGUUUCAAAGCUGUGUGGCGGUGAUUGGACAUCAGCCGCUGAUAAAGUGGGUUCGCCUAUAAAGUGCUCUGUUGGGAAACCAGCUCCAGCAGCUCUGCGCUCGGGGGAAAAAAAAAUACUUAUCUUGUGCAGAAAAAUGCGCCGACAUUGCGUUAUAUCGAGCAAAGUUAAACUGUGACUAUCACCAGGUAACGUGGGCGUGUUUCUUGAAUUAGCAGCAGGUAUUAAACAGCUGACAGGUGAGGAAGAGGACGCAUGCAGGUAAACUGAGGGCCUGUUGAGCUGAUCGCUGGUGUCCUGAGAAACAUGUCAGCUCGUUCUUUAUGUUACAGAAGCACAGACACACAAGACCAGGCGGAAAGAGACGAUCGUUCGGUGAAAAUGAGAAUCUGCAAAUGCAACAUGUGGAACACGGAGAGUGGAAUAUGUAAACAAACCGGUUAACGUAACCCCCCCCCCCAAAAAAAACCAAACAGUUAAGCUGGAACACCGGGGCUGUGGAGAAGGGUCUGGCUGCAGCCAUUGUGGAGCUCCACAGUAACCGGAAACACGUGACCUCCACAGUAGCCGGAAACACGUGACCUCCACAGUAGGCAGAAAUACGUUCCUGCGUGGAUCAUCGACUGUGGAAAUCUUGCAAGUGGAUUGUAAAGAUGCUCAUAUCAAUUUGGAGUUCUGCCUCCAAGCCAGAAUUGCAGGAAUGCACAACAUGUUGCAGAAGACUCUUUCACUGCCCUCUGUGCCCCACUUUCAGCCCUACUGUCAAGGCAAAGAUUGAGGAGCAUAUAAAUGGACACAUUAAAAAUGCUUUGCCUUUCAAAGACAAAAUGAUAUACCGGUGCACUUUCACUGCCCUGUCUGUAACAUGACAGUAAUACAGCGUGGGGAUAUGGCAAGGCAAUUUUUCUCAUGUCAUCAUUCAGGACUGCUCCCCACUGAACUCUCCGAGGAGCCCCAUCUCCCUCUCGAUGUCUUGUCUCCAGUAUCUAAACCAUUUUCUGAAUCUUUGGUAGAACAUUCAUGUGCUCUACCCUCUGUGCUAAAUGAAACUGUGGCUUGUGGAAAGUCCUUGAAAAUGAAACCCCCUCACUGUGGUCUUAGUCUUCUUAAAAAAAACUUCAAGGCUCACAUGAUGAGGAGGCAUUCAAACAGAUCAAUAGAUGUUUGCCUGGCUUGUCAUCUGCAGUGUUUUUGUGUAGAGGGACUUCUUCCUCUUUGUUUUUCAGUUUGCAGAGGACAUGGAGCUCUUUUUAAAAGCUUGUGCUGAUGAGCAGGGACUAUGGGUCAAUGCGAUGUUUGACAUUUAAUGGACAGAUGAAGGCACUGGCUGUUUGUUUGUGUUUUUUAUGUGUUGUUGUUUGUUUUUCAGUGUACAGAAUUCCAGUUAAACGUGUUAUUAAAUAUCCACUUGUUUCCAUGUCCAUACUUAUAGUAAAAAAAUUAAGUGUAAAUGCAACAGCAUUGUUUAUACUUGUAACUUCAGAGUAAAAAGCUUAUUGUUGAUAUUAACAUUAAUAUAUUACCCUGUAAUCAAUAAUAUUUUUAUACAUUUUACGCAUCAACCCUCUGGGCUCUAUCCUGGCCAUUUGUGGCCACUUGACUUCUCUUUUUGUUUUGUUUUUUUGACGACUACACUGCAGUGGACCAAAAGAAUGACAUAGGUUUGAUCUUAAGGAUCUAAUACUUGUGUGUGUUUGUGCAUGACAUUGCAAUGCAAAUAUGUAUUUGCAAGAUAGACUGAAAUAAAUAAUGACGCAU
Long non-coding RNA from Oreochromis aureus, 4089 nucleotides. Lineage: Eukaryota; Metazoa; Chordata; Actinopteri; Cichliformes; Cichlidae. The record is from Ensembl.